GCGGGGGGGUGGGGGGCAGAUGACGCGGAUCGGAGAGGGCGCUCAGAGCUCCGAGCGCGCAGCCCAAGGACCUCCGAAGGCCCUCGGCAGCGGUCGUCCAGAGAUGACAGCACCAGACUCCGGUGCGGGAUUGGGGCAGCUGUCCGGGUCCACCGGGCUGCCGGGUCUCCGGUUCGCUCACCUUCUCCUGCGCGCGGGCCUGUCCAGCUGUUCUCUACAGGAUCCUUGCAGAGAUGGGAGGGUGACGCUCCAGAAGACCUUCUGAAAGGAGAUAUGUCCCUAAGCUUUGCCUCCUGGCUUCCAAACCUGCUGAUCCAGAUGUUCAGCUCCCAUCUUGAUCCAGUUUAACCAUGCCUUGCAGAAGUGGCCUAGGGAGUAGGCCAGUCACAGGGCCACCAAGUACCUCCAGGAUGUUUCCAAGGCUUCCAGGAAACAAGGUUUCCAGCAAAAACCAGUUGUUUUCUUUUGCUACCAGCAAACAAAACCUCUCCAAGAGCAAAAAUAAUAAUAAUAAUUAAGAUGAUUGACUUCUCUGGUGAACUGUGUAUGGUCUCCGGUGUUGCCGAAAGGUAGUAGACUGAGAAGAUGACAACAACAUAGGCUUCAGACCAGAAGACCUUAGCUCUGUUGUUAUGAGUUGUGUGAUCUUGGGCCAGUCACUGCCUGCUCCUUUUACAUGUAGCAAUAAUACCACCAGGCAAGGCUGUUGUUAAAGACUAGAGGUAGCUCUGACCGUCCUUGACCCAGGAUCUAGUUGCCCGGGUAGAUGGUAGUUACUCUUAUUAGAUAUCCUGUCCUGAAGGUCAGGAAUAGUGUCUCUUAGUUAAUCUGGUUUUUGGCCUCUUUGCUGGUGAGACACAGUAGGCUGACCUUUGCCAGCUUCACCGGUGGGUAAAUAGAGAUGCAAAAAAGCAAACUGUCCAGUACUCCUUCAGAAAAUCACUGUUGAGUUCCUUGGGAAGUGAGAUUCCAGCAUCUAGAAGUAUUCACUGGAAAUUUCCUAUAAUUAGCUUUAUCUAUGAAAAAUAAAUGGUUUACUAAAUAAAGUGCAGUGACAAGA
This is a long non-coding RNA of Pteropus alecto (black flying fox), 1060 nucleotides long. RefSeq lists it as uncharacterized. The record is from RefSeq and is a predicted model, not a curated record. The transcript has 2 exons. NCBI's taxonomy places the organism in Eukaryota, Metazoa, Chordata, Mammalia, Chiroptera, Pteropodidae.